RNAcentral lists this unclassified non-coding RNA (403 nucleotides) under soil metagenome. RNAcentral's name for it is "partial contains 5.8S ribosomal RNA, internal transcribed spacer 2, and large subunit ribosomal RNA". The stretch from base 1 to 121 matches the Rfam family "5.8S ribosomal RNA", at positions 35 to 154 of the family's 154-position model. The record is from RNAcentral.
GAUGAAGAACGCAGCGAAAUGCGAUAAGUAAUGUGAAUUGCAGAAUUCAGUGAAUCAUCGAAUCUUUGAACGCACCUUGCGCCCUUUGGCUAUUCCGGAGGGCAUGCCUGUUUGAGUAUCAUGAACACCUCAACUCUCAUGGCUUGCCAUGAUGAGCUUGGACUUUUGGGGGUCUUGCUGGCCUGUGGUCAGCUCCUCUCAAAUGAAUUAGCCUGCCAGUGUUUGGUGGCAUCACAGGUGUGAUAACUAUCUACGCUUGUGGUUUUCCACCAGGUAACCUUCAGUGAUGAAGGUUCGCUGGGGCUCAUAAACGUCUCUCCUCAGUGAGGACAGCUCUUUGAACGUUUGAUCUCAAAUCAGGUAGGACUACCCGCUGAACUUAAGCAUAUCAAUAAGCGGAGGA